RNAcentral lists this ribosomal RNA (253 nucleotides) under uncultured bacterium. Its description in RNAcentral is "partial 16S ribosomal RNA". It matches the Rfam family "Bacterial small subunit ribosomal RNA", at positions 524 to 776 of the family's 1533-position model. The record is from RNAcentral.
UACGUAGGAUGCGAGCGUUGUCCGGAAUUAUUGGGCGUAAAGAGCUUGUAGGCGGUCUGUCGCGUCUGCUGUGAAAAUCCGGGGCUCAACCCCGGACUUGCAGUGGGUACGGGCAGACUAGAGUGUGGUAGGGGAGACUGGAAUUCCUGGUGUAGCGGUGAAAUGCGCUGAUAUCAGGAGGAACACCGAUGGCGAAGGCAGGUCUCUGGGCCACUACUGACGCUGAGAAGCGAAAGCAUGGGGAGCGAACAGG